RNAcentral lists this ribosomal RNA (475 nucleotides) under uncultured bacterium. RNAcentral's name for it is "SSU rRNA". It matches the Rfam family "Bacterial small subunit ribosomal RNA", at positions 26 to 510 of the family's 1533-position model. The record is from RNAcentral.
AGGAUGAACGCUGGCGGCGUGCCUAACACAUGCAAGUCGAACGCUCUCCAUUCGGUAGCAAUACUGAUGAAGAGGGAGUGGCGAACGGGUGAGUACCACGUGAGCAACCUGCCCCGAAGACUGGGACAACACCGGGAAACCGGUGCUAAUACCGGAUAUCCCUAUCGGAUCGCAUGAUCUGAUAAGGAAAUGGAUUCCGCUUCGGGAGGGGCUCGCGGCCUAUCAGCUAGUUGGUGAGGUAAUAGCUCACCAAGGCAUCGACGGGUAGCUGGUCUGAGAGGACGAUCAGCCACACUGGGACUGAGACACGGCCCAGACUCCUACGGGAGGCAGCAGUGGGGAAUCUUGCGCAAUGGGCGAAAGCCUGACGCAGCAACGCCGCGUGGAGGACGAAUGCUUUCUGAGUUGUAAACUCCUUUCAGCAGGGACGAUUGUGACGGUACCUGCAGAAGAGCGACCGGCCAACUACGUGCCA